CAAACGGUCCUUUUCAGGACCAUCGAAAA
This is a non-coding RNA of Aedes albopictus (Asian tiger mosquito), 29 nucleotides long. Lineage: Eukaryota; Metazoa; Arthropoda; Insecta; Diptera; Culicidae. The record is from Rfam.